ACGAACGCUGGCGGCGUGCUUAACACAUGCAAGUCGAACGGAAAGGCCCUGCUUUUGUGGGGUGCUCGGGUGGCGAACGGGGGAGUAACACGUGAGUAACCUGCCCUUGACUUUGGGAUAACUUCAGGAAACUGGGGCUAAUACCGGAUAGGAGCUCCUGCUGCAUGGUGGGGGUUGGAAAGUUUCGGCGGUUGGGGAUGGACUCGCGGCUUAUCAGCUUGUUGGUGGGGUAGUGGCUUACCAAGGCUUUGACGGGUAGCCGGCCUGAGAGGGUGACCGGCCACAUUGGGACUGAGAUACGGCCCAGACUCCUACGGGAGGCAGCAGUGGGGAAUAUUGCACAAUGGGCGGAAGCCUGAUGCAGCAACGCCGCGUGCGGGAUGACGGCCUUCGGGUUGUAAACCGCUUUCGCCUGUGACGAAGCGUGAGUGACGGUAAUGGGUAAAGAAGCACCGGCUAACUACGUG
RNAcentral lists this ribosomal RNA (467 nucleotides) under uncultured bacterium. RNAcentral describes it as "partial 16S ribosomal RNA". It matches the Rfam family "Bacterial small subunit ribosomal RNA", at positions 29 to 507 of the family's 1533-position model. The record is from RNAcentral.